CUACGGGGCGCACCAGUGGGGAAUAUUGGACAAUGGGGGAAACCCUGAUCCAGCAACGCCGCGUGAGGGAAGAAGGCUUUCGGGUUGUAAACCUCUGUCGGAGGGGACGAAACCGGUUGUGGCUAACAUCCACAGCCAUUGACGGUACCCUCAAAGGAAGCACCGGCUAACCACGUGCCAGCAGCCGCGGUAAUACGUGGGGUGCAAGCGUUGUUCGGAAUUACUGGGCGUAAAGUGUGUCUAGGUGGACUUUAAAGUCAGGUGUGAAAUCCCCCGGCUUAACUGGGGAGGGUCGCUUGAAACUUAAAGUCUUGAGUUCCGGGGAGGCGAGUGGAAUUCCCAGUGUAGAGGUGAAAUUCGUAGAUAUUGGGAGGAACACCUGAUGCGAAAGCGACUCGCUAACCGGACACUGACACUCAAGCACGAGAGCGUGGGUAGCAAACAGGAUUAGAUACCCCUGUAGUC
RNAcentral lists this ribosomal RNA (465 nucleotides) under uncultured bacterium. RNAcentral describes it as "partial 16S ribosomal RNA". It matches the Rfam family "Bacterial small subunit ribosomal RNA", at positions 339 to 795 of the family's 1533-position model. The record is from RNAcentral.